UUUUCUACAGUUAGGACCAGCUUAUACAUUUGACACUCACUACACACAUGCUAUUAGGCUAAGUGCUACAUAGAUAACCAAUGCAAUGAGUCUUACACUCAAAGAACAAACAGACUCUUUUUCUCUUCACUUUUUUUUUUUUUUUUGGUGUUGUUGUUCUUAUAAAUCUAAGUAGAGGGGCUUUAAAAAAAAAUCAUGCAUUCAUUCCAGGACAGCAGUCUCUAACCCUGGGGCUGAAGAUGGGAGAGUUGGUGAGUACAUGGUGUAAUGGGUUAAGCUGUGUCCUCCAAAAAGACAAUGGUCAGAGGCUAAAAGCACAGGACCCAGAGACCACCUAUGUAGCACCAAGACUCCUGUUGCAACAGGUCCUUAUCUGAUACCUCGUCUUCCGACUCAGCCCUCUGACAUAUCUGAUUAUUUUUGACAAGUGCAAUCACCUCAACAACAGAGCCAUUCAGAACAUUUCAUCGAUACAGAAGCUCUUCCAAGAGGAUCUCUGUUUAACUGCUCCAGGGAUCUCUCUGCUGGUGAUGGCUUUUCUGUGGUUGUAGAAGGACAAUCUAACCACCUCCAGGCGAACCCGUUCCAGCAGCCAGUCCUCCAAAGAGCCCAGUGCAUCCGAGAUCCAGGAGCACCCACUGAAGUCUGGAGAGAGUGACCACUUUGACCUGACAGCCAUUAAUUUACCAGGCAACACGGAUCUCCGCAGUGAUUCCUUGUACGUGUGUGACCCCAGGUGUUCUUAUUAUAGUGGUUCUUGGCCACAAAGAUUUCCAUUCAAAAGGACUGAGCCUGGGAUCCUGGAAGCUGCAUCUUUUGCUAAAGCGUCCCAGGAGAUGAAUACUGCCAAAGCUCACCAGUUGAGAAACUCUGGGUGAACGGCAGGAGGAGAGGGAGUUUGGGGGACAGAUUAGAUGUCACCUUGGGAAUGAUGUCACACUGUUCCUGGAGUGUCAGCACUAUAGAUACUAAUAUUAAUGGUGGAUGAUAUUAGUACCGAAUAGUUGCUACUUUGUCAGGUGGAGGUAAGAAAAGAAUCCAAAUUUUUCCCAGCCCCAGCAAUAUCUUAUUUAACCUCUACACCAAGCUUUUAUUUUUUUAUUUAUUUUUUAUUUUUUGUAUUUUGAAUUUCCAGUUUUUUGUUUGUUUAUUUUUAAUAUAUGUUUUAAAUUUAUACCCAAGUUAGUUAGCAUAUAGUGCAACAACAAUUUCAGGAGUAGAUUCCUUAAUGCCCCUUACCCAUUUAGCCCAUCCCCCCUCCCACAACCCCUUCAGUAACCCUCUGUUUGUUCUCCAUAUUUAAGAGUCUCUUGGGGCGCCUGGGUGGUGCAGUCGGUUGAGCGUCCGACUUCAGCCAGGUCACGAUCUCGCGGUCCGGGAGUUCGAGCCCCGCGUCAGGCUCUGGGCUGAUGGCUCAGAGCCUGGAGCCUGUUUCCGAUUCUGUGUCUCCCUCUCUCUCUGCCCCUCCCCUGUUCAUGCUCUGUCUCUCUCUGUCCCAAAAAUAAAUAAACGUUGAAAAAAAAAUUUUAUAAAAAA
RNAcentral lists this long non-coding RNA (1536 nucleotides) under Felis catus (domestic cat). RNAcentral describes it as "lncRNA (ENSFCAG00000046239.2)". Lineage: Eukaryota; Metazoa; Chordata; Mammalia; Carnivora; Felidae. The record is from RNAcentral.